Molecule: long non-coding RNA, 1408 nt
Filed under: Homo sapiens (human)
Lineage: Eukaryota; Metazoa; Chordata; Mammalia; Primates; Hominidae
Description: HSALNT0358190
Source: RNAcentral
CCGGGCAGGAUGCUCUAUGCUGGACAGGAAGCGACUAAACCAAUGACAUUCUCAAGGAGCUUCAAUACUUCCAAGAGUCAGAAAUCAAGAGAGUGAUAUGGAAGCCAAAGGCACACAGAGAAAACUCAACAUGCGGAGGUCAUAAAACAGCAGAAACCACAAGUCACAGAGAAGAGUGGAAACAGAAGACACUCAGUAGCAGGAAAGCUACAAUCCCUAGAGAGACUGAGGAAGGAUAUGCUUAUUCAGGGCUAUGACUGAGUCUCGGGGGACAAGAAUAAAAGUGGAUUUAAACUUGAUUACCUUUGUGAAGAUCCUAUAGCCAAAUAAGGCCACACUGCAAAGUAGUGGGGUUUAGGACUUCAACAUAUGGAUUUUGAGGUGGCAAAAUUCAACCCAUAAUAGUGUCCAACAGUCAGUGUGACUGGUAUCCUUAUAAAAAGGGGAAAUUUGGAGACAGUGUGCUCACAGGAAGAACGCCCUGUUAAGAUGAAGGCAAAGAUUGGGGUGAUGCAUCUAUAAGCCAAGGAACCCCCCAAAUUGCCAGCAAACUACCAGAAGCUAGCGGAGGGCCACAGAGCAAAUUCUCUCUUUCACAAUCCUCAGAAGGAAGCAACCCCAUUGACACUUUGAUCUCAGACUUCUAGCCUGCAGAACUGAGAGACAAUAAAUGUCUGUUACAUCCCCAGUUUAUGAUACAUGGUUAAAACAGCCCUAGCAAACUAACCCAGGCACGGAGCGCUACCGUUGAGUGAGAAACAUCUGCUCUGUUCCUUGAGGCUGACUAUUUGGCUACUGAAAGGCUUUCUGUCUUCUAUCCUCCCGCUCAUGUAUCCCCACAAUAACUCCCAUAACCUCAGACAACCCGAGCCUGUCUGCUCCCUGGAAGCUGAAAGAACUUCAGUAACUCAGUUGGAGUGCAGGCAGCAGUGUUUGGGAAGGAGUAAAUGAAGCAGUUGGAAGCAAAGAAGCUGCUGCUUUGGGAUCCGCAAAUCAGAGGAUCAGGAAAUGUGAAACAACUUUCCUGACAGCUUCAGGGAGUGACAUCCAGGCAGGAACUCGGCGGCUUGGCAGAGCUGGAGGAGGAUAGCAGCGCUCUUUUUCCAACCUGGAAACAGCCCAUUCAGUCAAUAACUCACCUCCAGUGCCUUUUCCUAAAGCAUUUACAGUCAGGAGAACAAAUUCAGAUACCCCAGAAAAUCAAGAAGUCAUGACAAUUAAAGAGUCCUGUACCAGCACAUCCUGUCUUCACUGCCUGCAAAGCUCACCACUCUCUUCUCCAUCCACAAACUCCCAUACUCCUUUGAAGCAGCAGCUGAGCCGCCACAACCUCGAGCCUCUCUCCUGAUCACAGCAUCACAUAGACAAGGCUUCAGUGGAACCAUGACAAUUAGAAUAUUUAUUGAUU